GAUGAACGCUGGCGGCGUGCCUAACACAUGCAAGUCGAACGAACCACUUAGUUUGAUUUUCUUCGGGUCUUAUUAUUUUGUGACUGAGUGGCGCAUGGAUAAGUAACGCGUGGGUCACCUGUCUUUUACAGAGGGCGAACAGUUUAACACGGCUUCUAAUACAGCAUAAGCGCCCAGCGUCACAUGCUGCAGUGUGAAAACCUCCGGAGGUAUAAGCUGUACCCGCGUUGGAUUAGCUAGUUGGUGAGGUCACGGCCUACCAAGGCAACGAUGCUUAGCAGCCCUGAAAGGGUGAUCGGCCAGCCGGGAAGUGAGACAGGGCCGAGACACCGACGGGGGGCAGCAGCAGGGAAUCUUCCGCAAGGGGGGAAAGCGUGAUAGAGCAACGCCGCGGGAGUGAUGAAGGUGCGAGGACGGUAGAGCGCUGUUAUAAGGGAAGAAGAAAUGUGUAAGUAGCUGUGAACAUCAUGACGGUACCUAACCAGAAAGCCACGGCUAACUACGUG
Molecule: ribosomal RNA, 506 nt
Filed under: uncultured bacterium
Lineage: Bacteria
Description: partial 16S ribosomal RNA
Rfam family: Bacterial small subunit ribosomal RNA
Source: RNAcentral